UGCCGAAGAGGCUACCAUCGAAUGGUCAGCGAGUCCUCCCGAACCUCCUAACUCCGAGGUGGCAUUUGUUGUGCCUGUCAGAAUAUGGAUGAGCUACGGAAGUUCUUUAUGAAUGUUUUAAACUUCGAUCCCAUGAGCUGGCGUUUGUUAACCUGAUCCCUAGGCAAUGGACCCAGUACGACUACCCCCCAGACAGCAAGAGGUAUAGGAGAUAAAAUAGAAAUAUAGUCUUUUGGUGGCUGAUGUGGGAUCGAACCAUUUGGCUGACAAAUAUCCAC
RNAcentral lists this long non-coding RNA (278 nucleotides) under Panax ginseng (ginseng). RNAcentral describes it as "long non-coding RNA (PGIN_LNC016789)". The record is from RNAcentral. Lineage: Eukaryota; Viridiplantae; Streptophyta; Magnoliopsida; Apiales; Araliaceae.